Molecule: ribosomal RNA, 390 nt
Filed under: Triticum aestivum (bread wheat)
Lineage: Eukaryota; Viridiplantae; Streptophyta; Magnoliopsida; Poales; Poaceae
Description: partial small subunit ribosomal RNA
Source: RNAcentral
AUGCUCAAGAAAUUUUAUUGGGGAUUUAAGGAUGGCAUGUAUAAAACUGUGUGGGUCUCAUGGGAGGAUGUGAUAAUGCCAAAGUAUAUAGGCGGUUGGGGUUUUUGUAACACCGAGCUCUUUAGCUCGACCAUGUUGGCGAAGCAUAGAUGGAAAAUUCUACAAGAGCCCGAGUCACUUAGUGCGAAGAUAUUGAAAGUUUUUUCUUACCCCUUUGCAUAUAUUUUUGAUUUAGAGCUUGACAACGACCCUACGCAGGUGUGGUGCUCUAUUCAUGUGGGGAUUUCAGGACUUAAACAUGGAUUAAUUCAAAGAAUUAGUGAUGAAGAGUCAGCAAAUAUGUGGAAUCAUAACUUGCUACCAUGCAAUAAUAUGAUGUGGGCUUUAUAA